UCAGCCUCUUCAAGUUCAAUCCUAUCACGAAAUGACUCAGAAUCACCUGCUUGCAAAAUGCCUUCUCGUGUUUCUAACUGCCUAUUAGAAUCUUGGAUAUUGUUUUCUACAAGCCCCUCAGGCAUUCCAGAGGAGUUUACAUCAUUGCUUUCAUUUAGGUUCAGAUUUUCAUUAGCAUCAAGCCCAUAUGUUCUCAAAGGCAAGCUUGUUUCAGAAGUAUUACCAGAACUGGAUGAGUUGAUAGGUAAAGAACUGGAUAAGGUUGUAUCGCUCCUAGGAUUGUCCCUUAACUUUUUAAAGCGGUCCAGGCAAUUAGAAUGCCUGUAACUUGUAUCACAAAUGUAAGAUCUGCAGCCCUU
Molecule: unclassified non-coding RNA, 359 nt
Filed under: Hevea brasiliensis (rubber tree)
Lineage: Eukaryota; Viridiplantae; Streptophyta; Magnoliopsida; Malpighiales; Euphorbiaceae
Source: RNAcentral